GUGCUCACCUUGGCAGCGUAGAAACUAAAAUUAGAGCAAUACAGAGAAGAUUAGCAUGACCCUUGUGCAAAUAAUGGAUGACACGCAGAUUAUAAAGCCUUCCAUAUUUAC
Small nuclear RNA from Mastomys coucha (southern multimammate mouse), 111 nucleotides. NCBI's taxonomy places the organism in Eukaryota, Metazoa, Chordata, Mammalia, Rodentia, Muridae. The record is from RefSeq and is a predicted model, not a curated record.